RNAcentral lists this long non-coding RNA (8896 nucleotides) under Homarus americanus (American lobster). Its description in RNAcentral is "uncharacterized LOC121873195". The record is from RNAcentral. Lineage: Eukaryota; Metazoa; Arthropoda; Malacostraca; Decapoda; Nephropidae.
AACGUGGUACCAGUGGUGUACGGUCUAGGCAAUUACUCGAUGCUGGCGCCACCUCACUCCUACAUCGACGCCCUCAGCUUCCCCACAGCUAAGGCCCUCGCCGAGUACCUCAUCUACCUGGACAAAAACGACACUGCCUACAAUGAGUACUUCAGAUGGAAACGUUUUCAUUGGAUUCCUCACCCUUGGGCGAAUGAAGCCAAGCCGUACUGCGAUUUGUGUGAGCGCCUCCACCAGGACAACACCACCAAAGUGUACAACCUGCAGCAGUGGUUUGUCCAAGACUCUCACUGCAAGUCCAGCUACAGCAAGGACAUAUCUUUGUUCAUAAACGGGUAUAUCAAACGAUGGCACACAGAAAUUAUCCCUGUAGUGAUAAUUUUCGUAAUUUUUCUCAUAUUCGUCGGCAUUUCAUUUCCGAAGUUUUAUAUCAGACGCAAUAUAUUCCGUAAACAUGGAAUAUAGAAUGAAUUUCAUAGUUCCAGGUAUAAAUUUUUCUCCGUGAAAAAGAACAAGUCCACAAAAGAAGUCCUAAAUCACACGCUGUUCAUAUCGCCACAAAUAUUGUAUUUGUUUCAGAAUUCUUAGUUGCUUAUAAUGGAACUACUUGUUGAUUAUGAAGAUAGUGUCUAAUAAAUUCAGUAACAUACUGUAUAAGUCUUUGUUCUCGAGACAACGUCGACUUCAGGGUUACUGACGUGAUUCCAACAACUCACUCAGUGUAUGUUGUAUUAUCGUGCUAGGGGAAGCAAUUAUCAAAACAAACUAUGUUUUAUUUAUCUAUAAAUGUUAAUGACGUGUGUGUGUGUGUGUGUUUGUGUGCAUUUACCUAAACUACGCGCUUGAAGAGAUUACUCAUAUAAACGUAGUUGUAACCGCCCGAUGAGCUACUGUGGAAUAAUGGGACCCUUGCACCCGGAAGUGCUUCUGUCGCCGCCGGAGUGUCGGGAGAUAUUCUUUCACUCACUUCUUCCAGAACUGGUCUGCAAUGAAUUGGGCAUGCUUCCAUUUUCGUCGGUACGCUUCUGCUAUGGACUGAUCGCCUCCAGUGGGCAGGGUUCCCGCAUGCAUUCGCGGCUUUGGGUUCUCUGGCCAAAUUCUGCUCCAUGCAGUCCACGCCUGGCAUCAUGAGCUGGGUUUUGGUUGGAGCUCACGUGUCUCCAUUGUUCUGCGUCAGAAUUCUCAUGUAUCGUUGCAUUGCGGUUUGCCAAAAUGGUAUGGAAGCGCCGUUCAGUGUUUCGUAUGUAUUGAAGGGUGACCAUGCUGUCUGUCCAGAACACUGAUCUGUCGAUCUGCAACUCUAGUUCUUCUCUCAGUUGUUUGUCUGCUUUGGCCGCCAACACUGCCGCACAUAGCCCGAGCCGAGGUAUGGUUUGCUGUUUCAGAGGAGCUAGCUUGGCUCUGCCACACACAAAGGAGGUAGAGUGGGCUCCAUCUCCACUUGUGAUCCUGAGGUAGCAUACAGCCCCGUAUGCUUGCUGGGAGGCGUUGCAGAAGUGGUACAGUUGUACCAUAGUUAUUGGAUUUGCGCAUUCAGGGUGGUAACAUCGAGGGAUGCGUACUUGAGACAAGUGGGGUUAGUUCAUUUAGCCACUGCCGCCAAGCGGCUCUGUUGAGUUUGGUCAUUUGCUCAUCCCACCCGAAGCCUCGCCUGCACUCGUCCUGGAAUUUGAUUUUGGCUUGUAUGGUGCUCGGAGCGAUAAUUCUUAAUGGGUCGUAUAUGGAGCUGACCAUACUCAGGAGACCUCGCUUCGUUUGUGGCUUCGUUGGGAUCUGGAUUCGGACUGCAAGUUCGUCAUUCUCUUGAUCCCACGUGAUUCCCAAUGCUCGCUCAGCUGGGAGCCUGUCAUCCUUCAAAAGUACUUCUUUCACUUCCAUGGCUCUUUUCGUUUGUUGGACUAUUAUGAGGACCACUUUGUGGUUGCAAAUCCAUUUUGUAAGUCUGAACUCGCCUUUCUUCAUCAACUGCCUCAGUUGGUGAGUGACUAUCGCUGCCUUCCCUGGUGAUGCUACUGAAAGAAGCAGAUCAUAAACAUAGAAGUUGCGACUUGCUUUCUUAAUUUCUUCAUGGAGCCUUUGUCUGUGGUCUUAGAAUGUUCGUCGUAGUGCAUAUCCAACACAAGAUGGGCUCCACACUCCCCCGAAGAGAUGUACCUUCAUUCGGUAAGUGGCCGGGUCUCCCGAUAGUUGGUCGUCUGUCCACCACAGGAAGCGCAAGGCGUCUUGAUGCUUAGGCAGUACUCGUACCUGGUGGAACAUAACCUCGAUAUCAGCCAUGAAUGCUACCCUUUCGUGUCGGAACCUAAUGAGGACUCCCAUCAAUUUGUUGUUGAGGUCUGGCCCUUGCAUCACUUGGCUGUUCAGGGACACUGACUCAUAUGUUGCUGCACAGUCAAAACUAUUCUCAACUUCCCGGGCUUAUUUUGGUUCAAUACUGGGUGAUGUGGGAGGUACCAGGUUUUACCCCGGCACAAUGGUAAGCUCACGGUGUGGGACUCUCUCAGUAUGUCCCUUGUUGAUCAGGUUUUGCAUCUCUUCUCGAUAUCUAUGGCGGAGGUCUGGGUCUUUCAGGAGACGUUUCUUUAAGCUCGCUAACCGUUGCUCAGCUAGUUUCCUGUUAUUCGGGAGUUCCGGCUCUUCAUGACGGAACGGUAUGGGAAGUUGAUAGUGCCCGCCCACUCUCGUCACUGAAGUUGACCAUAGCACCAGGACUCUUCUGUCUCUAAACGUGUCUCCAGGCUCAGCGGCUUUUCUGAGAUGAGGUGGUUGAAUGAUAGGUGGUCACUUAUUGCAGGUCCAAUCAGUCCAUUUAUGGUCCAUCCUAGAAGUAUGCUCACCGCGAACGGCUUUCCGUUCUCCCCGGUCCUUACUUCUAACGGUGUCAGGGCUUGUGUUACAUCUAACCUUAUCAGAAGAUCCACUCUUUCCGGUGCGUGGAAAUGUGUGGUUCCUUGGAGGUGCCUCCAUUUGGCAACAGCUCUGGUGUUCACAACCGAUGCUUCCAGUGAAGAAGGCAGGUCUUUAAUAACGAGGAUUCUGGGAAUGUUGAUGGAUCGACUUCUUCUCACUCCGACGCUAGUCACCUUCAGAACGAUCUCUUUGACCUUCACGCUCUUCGUCUCCUUCAGGAUCGUGCCUAUGGAGACUGAAACAGACUUCUCUGUUAUUUGUAGUCUGUUGGUUAGGCUCUCAGUGCAGUAAGACCUGUUGCUGCCUGAGUUCAAGAGUGCUCCGGUGAUCACUGUUGUAUUCGUUUCUCGCCUUAUCUCCCGGACUUUGACCUUUAAUAUGGGGAGUGCAACUCCGCCUGGAUCUGCUCUAAUCAUAUGUCGUAAUCUUCGUGCCCCUCGCACUGGUUAUUUUCUCGAUCGUAAGUAUUUCUGGCCCAUUUAUACAAGUUUUCUCGGUUCGUGGUCACUAAUGCAACCUUCUUGUUUCGAGCCCUUUUCUCCGUAACUCUCGAGCUGGAUUCGGGUUUCCAUGGCCUAGCUCCACUGGUCGUUGAUUUCUGUGCCGACAUGAUGGCCUUGAGUUGACAGUUACCUAGCUUUUGCCGCUUGUGGUUGGGCGACACUUCUGACUGGUGUGCAUCCAUGUUGGAAGCUCUUUCCAUCCCUUAAAAACUGGCUAAAAGUUCCUUUCUUGAUGGUUCGUCCUGGUUUGGCGUGUUAUUGAGCAUAGAAUUUCUCGAGAAGUGCAGGAGAUUCGAGUGGAAGCUAUAGCAGCCAUCUAUGCAGCACCUUGUCUUCUGGAUGCACUUGGCCAUCCGGUGAGUGCGAUCUAAGCAGGCAAAACAGCGACGUUCUUCACGUAUGAAUGAAAUUCGCGCUCCAGUCGACAUGUUGAGGAAUGCUUGGCAUCUCUGCAGAGGGAGAUAUCCAGGGCACAACAGGCAAGUGCUGUCGUCCCUUCCUCUAACCUCCUCUCUUCCCGAAGUCACUAUGCCCACAGGUCUCCUUUCUGAUGAGGAAGGGUAUGGGUGUGAGCCUGUUCAUGUACUGUUCGGCUCUUCUUGUCUUUGUCCCCUCGAAGCCCUCCUUGUCCUGUCUAGCAUCUCCAGUAGAAAAUCCUUCAUCCACUCGACCCCUGGAAAAUUCCCGUGUCUCCUUUCAUAGUCAUAUGCUCAGCAUAUGACUAUGAAAGGAGACACGAUAGAGCAUAUUAUGCUCUAUCCUCAUAUCGCGCCCUGAUCUUUCCUGUGAAUCUCUUAGCCAAAGUAUUCAGUGAUUCGUAAGUGUCAAUUUCAUGCAGUUUUCCUAGCACCUUUAAGUUGCUUACGCAAUUUCCAAGAUUGUCCGCGAGCUCCUGAAGUCUUUUAAUGUCAUCUGUUCUCACGGCUGGCCCACGUAGGACCUUGCCUAUUAGUUCUUGGAUGUAGGAUUACUUGUUGCCCUGGGAUCUUCUAUUUGCAGGCACACUCUCAGGGAUUUCUUAGUGCGGCCGAUGUAGGCCGAGAGAAGUGUUUCCAAUUUUAGUGCAUAGUGUAUGGACGCCUCCCCAUUGUGUCUUUGGAAGGCAUGCUUGAACUCCCAAUACUCGUCACAAGUCCCUCCGCUGAAUUUUGGCAUCGGCCAUUAACUUUUCCAGUCUCUGGGUUGGUAGCAUCGUGUCCGAUGGCCUCCCUUCCAUCCGUCCUGGGCGUUCUCACUAUAUAUCUUGUACUUUUUUUUCCUUCUCCUAGGUUCCUGUUGGUGUCACUGCUUCCGGAAAGUGGGUAUGACAGGUGGAAACAUGUUCCCUCUCCCCCUGAGGAGAUGUUCGCGACUCUGAGGCGCUGAGUGUUGGGAACCCUCCUUGGGUGGGAGUCUAGGUGUAGCAGUUAGACACUCCUGGUUCUGGCGGUUGACAAUAUGUAUCUCAUGGAUACCUCGUCGCGGCUAUCAUCCCCUCACUCGUUUCCAGAAAAGGUUUUCCUCCUGGGAAUGAUAGCAUCUCACCAAAGUCAUCCGUAUCACCUAAAGUCUGCAGUUGCUCCAUAUGAUCUUUCAUAUUCUGCAUCAUUGCCGUCAAUUGGGUGAGCGUCUGCUGAUAACCCCCGAUUACCCUAUUCUUCCGGCCUGUUGGUUUCAUCCUUCUCUUGGGUGAAAGGGUUUCUCCACUUCGCCCUGACUGUGUGAGUGACCAACUAGCAUCUCCGUCGUUCAGGGCCUCCAGGUCUUCUAGGCUAGCUAGGCUUAUCUCCUCUGCCGUGUUCCCUUCCAUGACUGGUGGCACAGUGAACUCGAUUUGGCUCUUUCGGUGGACAGUUAUAGAUACGUUCGGUUAAGCCGGAAUGCUCUUCAACUGACGCGCCUGCUCGUUUAUAACGAUGUCACAUGACUGAGAUCAUACAAGAGAUGUCAUACAACUGAAGUCAUAUAAGCGAUGUCAUAUAAUUGAAGUUAUAUAAGUGAUGUCAUACAACGGAAGUCAUGUAAGCGAUGUCAUACAACUGAAGUCAUAUAAGCGAUGUCAUACAACUAAAGUAAUAUAAACACGUGCAUUAAGCACGAGCGAAGUCACACUAACACGACAACAGAGGCACCACAAUCAGUGUAGGGAUUCCUUACACAACUGCUAACAUCAUAAAACUGAUGCCACAAACACUACUGUGCCCUUACUCACAACGUUCCUUAACUGUCACAACUACUAUUUUCUAACAGAAAGGGCAACUCACUCGUUCUUAAAUUUUAUUUACAAUUGGAGAUGCAGUCUGGUUGUAUGCUUUGAACACUAUCUCUCCCGCGUGUACAUGAGAAUGUAAGUGACACAGAGUACACUCUUUCCUCACACGCGGUCCUCGCUGCUGGUGGCAUUUCGAUCCGGAUUGAACGAUAACACUCCUGCACGCCUGUUCGAACAAUUUUGGCACCGAGACCAGUCCUCUCUGACACUUGACCCACAUACAGAGGUGUCACAUUUCUCUACGUACACAUAUGAGUGCUAUACACAAACUCAACCCACAACCCCCUUUUCGUUGGGGUUAACUAUUAUUAUAUUAUAGGCAUCACACUUUAGUUGAUGAUUCACAAAUUCUCACAUAGGCAUCCCAGCUCUCCUGCUGUGUAGCUGCCUGGUGCUCCGGCGCCGGAAGGAAGCUCCCCGCUGAAGGUCCAUCGACGGUUGAGUCACUCGCCAGUUCUCGGUAGAUUGUAUCGGCAGACUGUAGUGUCAUGGUCACAAUGGCACUGCUGGUCUGUUUGAAACCUGAUGAUUCAUAUUAUGCUUCACGCCCUCAAAACAUGUGGAUAACUGGUGAGUUAUCCCUAGGAAGGGAUUUUCCCUAGCUUAGGUGCCGUCCAUUUUCUCUGACUUUCUGAAACCAACCUAUAUAAAGUAAAUUUGAAUGUGAGCGAGAACACCGUUGUUUUGCACCAACUUAGAUAUGUCUGAUUACAGUUAAAGCAUUCAAGAUCCGUUGUGAGUGAUGUUGAAAGCUUCAACUGUCUUUAUAGUUAGUAACACUUAUCAAGUAAGUGAGGGUCGAGUCUGCCAGUAUGAAUGACAUCCCGUGAUAUCGUCCUUGGGUAUAGCCGUGAAUUUCCAAUUGUUACUGAAGUUAGAUUAUUUUGAUGCCCAAACCUCAGAGAAUCUGAUAUUUGGAGUUUGAUUAUUGUCAGUUGUCUAUUUAAGAAAGUAAUUAAUCUCCUGAAAAGAAUAUGUCACACUCUUAUCUCCAAGAUCUCAACGUUUACCCAUAGAAGGUCCUUGCCUAGAAAUCCCAAUUAUGUUGUGAGAAUGACGUUAACAGCGUGUGUAUUUGACAUCCAUUUCACUUCUUCCUGGCAAGCCCAAUCUCUGAUUAGAUUAUAAAAAUAGACGUAAGAAAUUCACCUGACCCAUGACUGAUUUUCAUAGUUAAAUGUUCAGCAACUGAGUUGAAUGUAAUUUCUGUCAUUGAGUGAUUAGCCUUUCUGGCAUGUGUAGUGCAGAGGACUGAGUUGCCAUUUAGCUGUAUAUAAACUCGUGUUCGAGGAGAAGCGUCACAUCUCUGACGCUGUCCCAUCAUAUCUCAGGUAUGUGUAUGUUCUCACGCCCGCUAUAUGAAGUCAGUUAAACUUAGUGAAUUUUGUGAAUAUCAGUGUUCAUGUUGUAACAGUGAAAUUAUCAUUUACCCAGUGAGAGAAUUAAUGUAGUGUAAAUAUCGUCUGUCAUUGCCAGACGAAAGAUUGUUUGUGAUUGAGUUAUUUUUCACAUCUCUGACGCUGUCCCAUCAUAUCUCAGGCACAGUGUGUGUGUUAGCUGAAUACCUGACAGACACAGGGAGGCCGGUAGCUGCACACCAGCUGGCUGCCUCUAGGAUGUCGUUAAUUCAGCAUGAUUAAUUUGUGCGAGUCCGCACCCUGGUGACUUGGCUCGAACUACCUCGCUGUGUGUCGGACUGUAACCGACCCAAACAGCGCUCUUUGUUUGUCGUGGUGACACCACUGUGACACCCUGGUGCACUCCUUACAGUUAUAUGGGCCAAAGUAUUAUUGUUGUAUAUGAUUGGGGAUAAUUAGCAGAAAUAUAGUUAUUCCAUGUUGAGAAGCGAACUCAUAAAUACUGAUAGUACCAGUAAUAACGUGUUAUGUGUUGUGAAUUGCAUCCUCCAUAUGUACUACCAACUGAGUUCUAGUGAAGGUACCAUAUGUAAGCUUGUCAUGUUGUGUGUUCUUUUAAAUGUACAACCAGUAAUGAUGUAAGAAGCAUGAGUAUCUAAUUGAAAUUGCAGAUGAGUAAAGUCAAGGAGUUGAUCCUUGUAGUUGUAUGUUAAUGACAUCUUUAACCAGAUUUAAUUUCAUAUUCAUAAACCAUUUUUAGAGUAUGAUAGAGGUAUCAUUUUCCCUCAGUAUCUACCUUUAUUCUUGUCCAAUAGCUUGAUACCAAAAUUACUUAACCCAUGUGCCCAAACCCUUGCCAUGCUACCAAAGGUCAGAGGUUAUGAAGUAACUAUAGGAAAUGAAAUAAUUAGACAGAACUAAUGGAGAAAAUGAAUGAAAUAAGGAAAAGAAAAGAAAAGAAGAAAAGAAGAAAGCCUCCACCCUUAUAAAUGGUUUGCAGCAGUGGGAUUGUAAUUUAAUAUAUCAAGUUGGGAAGAAUGAAUGUGAUACUGUGGGUGUUUUUUAACUGUCAUUCGUAAUAACCAUUUCUCUAAACAGGUACCUAAUAACCAUUUCACUGUAACAAAUGAGUAUUUCAGAUUGCUAAUAUUUUGUUACGUAUUUUUCCAUUGUACAGUAUAGUAUGUUAUUCUGUGAUAUUUAAGUAGGGACUUAAAUUAUUUCAUUUGGUAGUAAUUUUGUUCAGUGGAAACAGUGUUAAGGAAAUGUACAGAUUUUUUUUUUUUGGUUUUGCCGAGAAAUUGAAAUAACAGUUAAGAGUAAAUACUUCACUUGAAGUUAGGUAAGAACAAUUGCCUCAAAGAAAAAUAGAAAUCUUGUUUAAAGUAAAUUGUACUUGUAAUGCUGUUGUGUAGAAACAUGAAAUAUUCAGAGUAAUGGUAAUUGUCUGAAAAACAAAUGUCAGCUACCUAACUUAUAUAUUUUUGCAUUCUUCUUUUUUGUGAAAUCUCAGAAAAAGUGUUUAUUAUAUACCAGUGUAAUAUUUUUUUGGUGCCUUCCUACACUGAUACCAUAGCAACUGUUGUGACCACUCAAGUUAAUACUUUGAUAUUUACAGACAAUGAGUGAGCAGUGAACAUCUGCCGUGUUAAGAGUGUUGUGGGCAGUGUUCAUUUCUGAGUGUCACCUGAAGGCCAUUAUUGUACUAAGGUUAUGUAACUUAGUUUUAUUUGUAAUUGUGAAAUUUAUUUGAUGUAUUUGUUGUGGUUUCAAUAGGAAGUGUUGAAAUUCUCACUUGACGACAUAUUUUUUUUUGGCUAAUGAAUUUAUUUUAUAUAACCGAGUUGAGAGUUAUAAAAAAAUUUGUGUGUGUA